Homo sapiens (human) is the source of this 5845-nucleotide long non-coding RNA. RefSeq lists it as uncharacterized. The transcript has 3 exons. NCBI's taxonomy places the organism in Eukaryota, Metazoa, Chordata, Mammalia, Primates, Hominidae. The record is from RefSeq and is a predicted model, not a curated record.
CCAUUUACAUUUAGGGAUUUAAAAUAUAGUCUCUUGAUGCAAACAGUAAAUAAAUACAUUUUCCCAAGGCUCUGGUAAUAAAAUUAGGCAAUGGGGAUCAUUUCUAGCACUAAGUGUAGUGCGUGUUUUUCUUGGCUCUUUAACUAGAAACCUGCAUUUUAUUUUAAGGUCUCACAUGAAAUAGAAGCACAUGUGGUACAUGAAAUUUCUCUUGGAUGAUAUAUUAAAAGACGUAUUAAAUUGAUAGCAUCUCUUGAAGUCAAAUAAUAAAGGAGGGGGCGUUGCCAGAGGAGGCAGAUAUUUGGUCAGUGGACUGAGAGAGGAAGAUCUACACUCAAUGUGGGUGAGCACCAUCCAGUUGGCUGCCAUUGCAGCUACAACAAAGCAGGUGGAAAAAUAUCUUAUGGUGAGAACCACAGUCACUCAAUUGGAAAACUUAAAUGCGAUGGGAAUAAUUGGACCCUGAGGUGGCAGGGGCCAAGUGGCAGCACUCAACCGUCAAAGGCAAGGUAGGCAUAGUUGCAGUAAUAGACAACAGAGACAAAGCAGCAAUCAGAAUACUCUUACUCUUGUAGAGCUCUAGCAUUGGCUAAUUAAUCAUGGUGUUCCUGGAAGUGAAAUUGAUAGGAAGCCUACUAUAUUCUUACUUGAUUGGUAUGAGCAGAAAACUUCCAGGCCAAGUGAACAAAAGAUUGAUUUGAAUGAUAAAAAACAAAGAAUCACAGCCCCUCAAUCAAUUUUCAGACUUGAAUAAAUUUACAGAUCCAGAACCCCUUGAAAAAAAGGAAGGCUGAGUCACCUUGAGAAAGGACCCCACUACACUACUGAAAAUUUAUACUGUUAAUUUUUCUCUUAUCUUUACCCAGGGAGACCCCUGGGCUUUCAUCAGAGUAACUGUUCAAUGGGAAAAGAAAAAUGAUCAGACCUUUUGGGGAUUACUGGACACUGGCUCUGAGCUGACAUUGAUUCAGAGGAUCCAAAAUGUCAUUGUGGCCCUCCAGUUAGAGUAGAAGCUUGUGGAGGUCAAGUAAUUAAUGAAGUUGUAGCUCAGGCCCAACUUACAGUGGGUCCAGUGGGUCCCCAAACUUAUCCUGUGUUCAUUUCCUCAGUGCCAGAAUGCAUAAUUGAAAUAGACAUACUUAGCAGUUGACAGAAUCUCCACAUUUGUUCCCUGACCUGGGGGUUGAGGGCUAUUAUGGUGAAAAAGGGCAAAUGUGAGCUAUUAGAGCUAUCACUAUGUAGAAAAAUAGUAAAUCAAAAACAAUAUUACAUCCCUGGAGAGAUUGCAGGGAUUCUUGCACCAUCAAGGACCUGAAAGAUGCAGGGGUGGUGAUUCCCACCACAUUCCUGUGUAACUCUCAUAUAUGGCCUGUGCAGAAGAAUAAUGGACCUUAAAGAAAGACAGUGGAUUAUUAUAAGCUUAACCAAGUGGUGACUUCAAUUGCAGCUGCUGUACCAGAUGUGGUUUUAUUGUUCGAGCAAAUUAACACAUCUCCUGGUUCCUGGUAUGCAACUACUAAUUUAGCAAAUGCCUUUUUCUUCACCACUGUCGAUAAGGCCCACAAGAAGCAACUUGCCUUUAACUGGCAAGACCAGCAAUAUACUUCACUGUCCUACCUCAGGGCUAUGUCAACUUUCUGGCUCUGUGUCAUACAGUUGUUUACUGAAAUCCUGCUCACUUGUCUCUUCCACAAGAUAUCACACUGGUUUAUUACAUUGUUGAAAUUAUGCUGAUUGAAACCAGGGAGCGAGAAGUAGCAACUACUUUGGACUUACCAUUGAGAUAUUUGCAUGCCAGAAGAUGGAAAAUGAAUCUGAUAAAAAUUCAGGGACAUUCUACGACACUGAAAUUGCUAUGGGUACAAUGGAGAGGGGGCCUGUCGAGAUAUUCCUCUAAGGUGAAGAAUAAGUUGUUCCAUUUGGCUUAUUCUACAACCAAGAAAGGCACAAUGCCUAGUGGGCCUGUUUGGAUUUUGGAGGCAACACAUUCUUCAUUUGGGUGUGUUACUUCAACUCAUUUAUUGAGUGAACCAAAAGGCUGCUAAAUUUGAGUGAGGCCCGGAAGAGGGGAAGGCUCUGCAACAGGUCCAGGCUGCUGUGCAAGCUGCUCUGCCACUUGCACCAUAUGGCUCAGCAGAUCCAAUGGUGCCUGAGGUGUCAGUUGCUUAUAGAGAUGCUGUCUGGAGCCUUUGUCAGGCCCCCAUAGGUGAAUCCCAGUGGAAGCCUCUAGGAUUUUGGAGCAAGGCCCUGUCAUCUUUUGCAGAUAACUACUCUCCUUUGGAGAGACAUCUCUUGACCUGUUACUAGGCCUUGGUAGAAACAGAAUGUUUGACUAUGGGUCACCAAUUUAUUAUGUAACCUGAACUGCCUAUCAUAAACUGGGUGCUUUCUGACCCAUCUAGCCAUAAAGUUGGAUGUGCACAGCAGCAUUUAAUCAUCGAAUGGACAUGGCAUAUACACAAUCAGGCUUGGGCAGGUCCUGAAGGCACAAGUAAGUUAAUGAGACAGUGGCCCAAAUGCCCAUGGUCCCUACUCCUGCCACCCUGCCUUCUCUCUCCAGUCCUGCACUAAUGACCUCAUAUAGUUCACCAUGAAAAGUUGACAGAGAAAGGAAGACUAGGUCCUGGUUUAUAGAUUGUUCUGCAUGAUAUGCCAGCACCACCUGAAACUGGACAGCUGCAGCACUACAGUCCCUUUCUAGGGCAUCCCUGAAAGACAGCGGUGAAGAAAAAUCUUCCCAGUGGGCAGAACUUCAAGAAGUCAACCUUUUUUUUGCACUUUUCUUAGAAGGAGAAAUUGCCAGACAUGCAAUUAUAUACUCAUUCAUGGGCUGUAGCCAAUGGUUUGGCUGGUUGGUCAGGGACUUUGAAAGACCAUAAUUGGAAAACUGGUUAAAAAGGAGAUUUGAGGAAGAGGUACGUGGAUAGACCUCCUUGAGUGGUCAAAAACUGUGAAUAUAUUUGUGUCCCAUGUGAAUGCUUACCAAAGUGUGACCUCAGCAGAGGAGAAUUUUAAUAAUCAAGUAGAUAGGAUGAUCCAUUUUGCAGACACCACUCUGCCUCUUUCCUCAGCCAAACCUGUCAUUGUCCAAUGGGCUCAUAAACAAAGUGACCAUGGUGGCACAAAUGAAGUUUACACAUGGGCUUAGCAAUAUGGUCUUUCAUUUUCCAAGGCUGACCUAGCUAUGGCCACUGCAGAGUGCCCCAUCUGACAGCAGCAGAGGCCAACACUGAGCCCUCGAUAUUGCACUAUUCCUUGGGGUGAUUAGCCAGCUACCUGGUGGCAGGUUGAUUACAUUGAUUACAUUGGAUGUCUUCCGUUGUGGAAAGUGCAGCAGUUUGUUUUUACUGGAAUACACACUUACUCUGGAUAUGGGUUUGCCUAUCCUGCAUGCAAUGCUUCUGCCAAGACCACCAUCCAUAACUCGUAGGUUGCCUUAUCUGCUGUCAAGGCAUUCCACACAGCAUUGUCUCUGAUCAAGAAACUCACUUCACAGCUAAAGAGGUGUGACAGUUGUGGGCUUGUGCUCAUGGCAUUCAGUAGUCUUAAUAUGUUUCCCAUUAUUCUAAAGAAGCUGGCUUGAUAGAAUGGUAAAGUGGACUUUUGAAGUAACUAUUUCAAUGCCAAUCAGGUGAAAAUACUUUUCAGGGCUGGGAGAAAGUUCUCCAGAAGGUUGUGUAUAUCCUUGAUUAGCAUUCAAUAUAUGGCACUGUUCCUUCCAUAGCAAGGAUGUGUGGUUCCAGAAAUCAAGGAGUAAAACUGGAGGUGGUACCACUCACUGUCACCCCUAGUAACCCACUAGAAAAAUUUUUGCUGCCUGUUUCCAUGACAUUAUGUUCUGCUGGCCUAGAAGUGUUAUUUCUAGAGAGAGAAAUGCUGCCACGAGGAGACACAACAAUGAUUCCAUUAAACUGGAAGUAAGACUGCCACCUAGCCACUUUGGGCUUCUUCUGGCUCCAAGUCAACAGGCUAAGAAGGAAGGUACAGUGUUUUCUAGGAUGAUUGACCCAGACUAUCAAGAUAAAAUCCGAUGCCACAACACAAUUAAAGUAAGGAAGAGUAUGUCUGUAACACAGGAGAUCCCUUAGGGCAUCCGUUUGGUAUCACUAUGCCCUGUGAUUAAAGUCAAUGAGAUACUACAACAACUCAAUGCAAUCAUGACUGCAAAUAGCCCAGAGCCUUUAGGGAUGAAGGUUUGGGUCACUCUAUCAGGUGAAAAACAAAGAUUAGCUGAGGUGAUUUCUGAAGGCAAAGGAAAUACAGAAUGGGUAGCAGAAGAAGGUAGUUACCAAUAUCAGCUACAACCAUGUGACCAGUUGCAGAAAUGAGGACUGUAAUAGUCAUGAGUAUUUACAACUUUUUUUGUUAAGACUAUGUUUGUGCAUGUGUUCAACUGUAUUAAGAAAAUAUCUUUUGCUGACGAGGCUGUGGAGAAAUAGGAAAGCUUUUACACUGUUGGUAGGAAUGUAAAUUAGUUCAACCAUUGUGGAAGACAGUAUGGAGAUUCCUCAAAGAUCUAGAACCAGAAAUACCAUUUGAGCCAACACUUCCAUUACUGCAUAUAUACCCAAAGGAAUAUAAAUCCUUAUACUAUAAAGACAAAUGUACAGAUAUGUUUAUUGCAGCACUAUUUACAAUAGCAAAGACAUGGAACCAACCCAAAUGACCAUCAAUGAUAGACUGGAUAUAAAGAAAAUGUGGUACAUAUACACUGUGGAAUACUAUGCAGCCAUAAAAAAGAAUGAGAUCAUUCUCCUUUGCAGGGACAUGGAUGAAGCUGGAAGCCAUCAUCCUCAGCAAACUAGCACAGGAACAGAAAACCAAAUACCACAUGUUCUCACUCAUAAGUAGGAGCUGAACAAUGAGAACACAUGGACACAGGGAAUGGGACAACAUAUACCAGGGCCUGCUGGAGGGUGUGAGUCAAGGGGAGGGAACUUAGAGGAUGGGACAACAGGUGCAGCAAACCACCAUGGCACAUGUAUACCUAUGUAACAAAGCUGCACAUUCUGCACAUGUAUCCCAUUUUUUAAAAGAAGAAAUAAAGAAAAACAAGACAAAUAAAAUAUCUUUAUAUUAUUUUCUUUUUUAUCCUUAUGUAACAUUAGAUUUAUCACUUCAUAGCAGCAUUUAAUUAUUUUUAACUUCAAUAGCAUUUAGGUUAAGGAUUAGUGCACUUUUAUUUGUAUAAAGGAUAGUUGUAUUAUGUUAGGUGUAAUUAUGACUUUAUUAUUACCUAUAUUUGGAGAUUAAGUAUAAUUUCAGGAGAUGCAUAUAGAUGCCAAGUGGAUUUGUGAUGGUUAAUAUUAGGUGUCAACUUGAUUGAAUUGAAGGAUGCCUAGAUGGUUGGUAAAGUAUUGUUUUUGGGUGUGUUUUUGAAGGUGUAGCCAGAGGAGAUAGACAUUUGAGUCGGUGGACUGGAAGAGGAAGACCCACCCUCAAUGUGGGUGAGCACCAUCUAAUCAGCUGCCAAUGUAGCUAGAACAAAGCAGGUGACAAAAGGUGGGGUGACUUUGCUUCCUAAAUCUUCUGGCUUCUUUUUUUAUUUAUUUAUUUUUUUCUCGAUUCUGUAUGUUUUCUUGUGUUACUCCUGCCCUUGGACAUCAGUCUCCAGGUUCUUCGGCCUUCGGACUCUUGGACUUGUACCAGUGGCUUGCUGGAGGCUGUUGGGCAUUCGGCCACAGACUGAAGGCUAAACUGUCAGCUUCCCUGGUUUUGAGGCUUUCGGACUCAUAUUGAGCCACUACCAGUUUCUCUCUUUCCCAGCUUGCAGACGACCUAUUGUAAAAUUUUCCCUUGUAAUCAUGUGAACUAAUUUUACCUAAUAAAUUCCCUUCUAUAUGUA